Long non-coding RNA from Fundulus heteroclitus (mummichog), 244 nucleotides. RefSeq lists it as uncharacterized. NCBI's taxonomy places the organism in Eukaryota, Metazoa, Chordata, Actinopteri, Cyprinodontiformes, Fundulidae. The record is from RefSeq and is a predicted model, not a curated record. The transcript is spliced from 3 exons.
GGAUUUGGAUAUAAUGACAAAUCUUGGCCAUUAAUUUGUUACCAAGAAAGUUAUCAAUUUGGUCACAACAACAUCUGGACCUCCAUCUCAGGUCCUGGUUCCUCCAGAGUAGGAGUGUACCUGGAUCACAGAGCAGGUAUUCUGUCCUUCUACAGCGUCUCUGAAACCAUGACUCUCCUCCACAGAGUCCAGACCACCUUCACUCAGCCGCUACAUGCUGGAGUUUAUGUUUCCUCGAUCAUUG